Molecule: ribosomal RNA, 330 nt
Filed under: uncultured eukaryote
Lineage: Eukaryota
Description: SSU rRNA
Rfam family: Eukaryotic small subunit ribosomal RNA
Source: RNAcentral
CAAUAGCGUAUAUUAAAGUUGUUGCGGUUAAAAGACUCGUAGUUGGAUUUCUGCCGAGGACGACCGGUCCGCCCUCUGGGUGAGUAUCUGGCUCGGCCUGGGCAUCUUCUUGGAGAACGUAUCUGCACUUGACUGUGUGGUGCGGUAUCCAGGACUUUUACUUUGAGGAAAUUAGAGUGUUUCAAGCAGGCACACGCCUUGAAUACAUUAGCAUGGAAUAAUAAGAUAGGACCUCGGUUCUAUUUUGUUUGGUUUCUUAGAGCUGUGGUAAUGAUUAAUAGGGACAGUUGGGGGCGAUUCAUAUUCCAAUGUCAGAGGUGAAAUUCUUGG